AUGAAAACCCAAGAACACUCUUCGCGAUCACGAUUAACACCUGUCAUUUUCUUUUCUGCAUUUGUCCUAACAAUCUCCCUCAUGCUGGCGUUGCUAGGCUACCGUAUACGUCAGCGAAAGGCGGCGCUUAAAGAAAGCAUUGUGCACAAGACAAGGCCCAACACACGAAAAAUGACGAAGCAAAGAAUCAUGGAAACGAGAUGGAUGAAGGAAGAUAUUUGACCUGACGGGGAUAGUCGCUGAUUUACACUGAUCUGUAUGUACACAACUGAAUUGAGCAUUUGCUGACAUGCCUUGUGUACUGCAAUGGGGGGAAAGCUAUUCUGCACCAGUGAACUCAGCUGAUGUAGUGACGUAACACUAAAGAUUCGGGUUAGGGUUACGGAGUAACGUCACUACAUUAACUGAGUGAAGAAUAAGCUCUACCAGGCAAAAGACCAAUUCGCAGAUACGCAUCCAUCUCUGUUGGCAUAAAUGUGUCUGUUUUAAAAACCUGUUAGGCACCAUGAAUAUAUAUAGUUUCAUAUUCUUAGUUUCGACUUUCUUUUGGGCUUAAGCAAAAAUUCUGGUCCCGUAAAGUACUCACCCUUCGCUAUAGAGCCUCGUUUUCCGGAUUGAGAUAUCGGCUUUUGAGCCAUUUGUUUUGUCACUGAUGACCAAUUAUAAAUAAAGGUCUUUUAUGUUAUCUAAACAAACUGCAUGGUUUUGUUAAUGUGAACACCUGUAACAAGAUUGAAGAUAAUGAGGCUCUAUAGCCAGUUUGAGUACAUUUCGGAAAGGUGUAUUCAUACAGAUCAGUGCUAAACAAGGCGUUGGACCGAAACGAUUUCAGGCAAGCAGUGAUCGGGCGGCUUAUCAAAAGUCAACCUAACGAACCUAAGUGAGACAUAUUUUUAACACAGAACACGUACUUCGCUACUAUGAUAAAAUAACAAUGUACCAUAUACCUAUUUUAUAUACAAAGUAUUAGCAGGGUUUAAAACUGCAUCUUGUCAUGUUGGACAAUGAAUACAUUUUGUACGUUUAUAUACCAACAGUAGUAAGUCGCAAAGGAGAAGAGUAUUUUAUGGUAAUUAAUUCGUAAUUAAUUAAUUAAUUAAGCUAUACAAGUCCCAAAAUAUAGUCAAUCGAGAUAAACUCAACAAAAAAUUUUCGGGACAUCAGCUAUGACAUUGUCCCAACGUUAUAUAUUUCUUCCUUUUUCUAAUUAAUACAUGCGUCGUGUUUCCCUUUCAUCAUUUGCCCGAUUUUUAAGUAGAAUCCACACGACUUAAAAAUGAUUGUGGGGGCUGCAGCCCCCCUCAAGCCCCCUAUGCCCAUGGUUGUGUUCCAAAUUUUUGAAAUAAUCAUUAACAGGCAUCAACAAGAUAAAUUUUGAUAGUAAGAUCGCUAGAAACUGGUAGAACCAAAUGUCAUGGCUGUUUAAGACUGGAAACCUAUUGGCGUAUUGAUGCUUUACAUAAAUGACGCAUGGUUUCAAUGGUCGAUUGGGUGAAGCAGAUUUUAGUGUCGAAAUUAAAUUUAUCUCUCAGAUUGGAUUUUGGAUGCCCACAAAUAACUAACUCUGUAAUAUUCUGGAACACAGCAGUUAACCAGACAUAGUACUACUACACAAGUGCUGUGCCGUGGAGCAUGCGCAAAACAGCACGUUGGUGGCUUAAACCAGUGCAUCGCAAGCACGAAAACAUAACACCGCAAAAAAACGUCGGAAAUUUGCCUUGCAAGCAUGGUAUCAAGUAUUCCGAAUGUUGUCAAAAACUCAGAAUGAAAGCGACGUCGAUGUUUUGCCUUUUCUGUGAAAAUGCAAGCGGAAUAACUAUGAAUGUGACAAUCUAAAAACUAGAAAUAAUUACAGUCUUACAUGUGCAAGAAGUAGUAGUAUGCAAGAAAAUGAACCAAAGGUGACUGUCGAUAAAUGUCGUUGCAUGACAGUAAAGACUAAAAUUUAUGUAAAACAACAUGACAGUUUAAUAUCAAUUAUUUAGAAACCUUGGUAAUGUUUCUGAGAGGAAUUUCAGAUUCAAAUUUGAGCUAAAUUUCCUAAAACUGUUCUCAAUUAAAUUCAUGUAAAUAACGAACGAUUUUCAAAGCGCAAUUUUUGUAAUAAAGGCAACUUGCUGCCCCCGCA
Molecule: long non-coding RNA, 2128 nt
Filed under: Paramuricea clavata
Lineage: Eukaryota; Metazoa; Cnidaria; Anthozoa; Malacalcyonacea; Plexauridae
Source: RNAcentral